GUUUUUUCCCAAGCAUUUCCACCCAGAGAAGAAUGGGGUCGGAAGUUUGACCUGGGAACGGAAGUCCCUGGCGGGAAAGGGGAAAGAAGGGCCACUGUAGGUCAGCAACAGCAAUAAGUAAUGACCUAACCUUGGAGACUUGUGGAACUGGAUGGUUGUCUCCAUGUUUUGGCUAUUGCAAAUAGUGCUGCAAUG
Long non-coding RNA from Sus scrofa (pig), 195 nucleotides. RefSeq lists it as uncharacterized. The record is from RefSeq and is a predicted model, not a curated record. Lineage: Eukaryota; Metazoa; Chordata; Mammalia; Artiodactyla; Suidae.